This 477-nucleotide ribosomal RNA is filed under the name uncultured bacterium. RNAcentral describes it as "bacterial SSU rRNA". It matches the Rfam family "Bacterial small subunit ribosomal RNA", at positions 335 to 798 of the family's 1533-position model. The record is from RNAcentral.
ACUCCUACGGGAGGCAGCAGUGGGGAAUAUUGCACAAUGGGGGAAACCCUGAUGCAGCCAUGCCGCGUGUGUGAAGAAGGCCUUCGGGUUGUAAAGCACUUUCAGUAGGGAGGAAGGUAGUGUAGUUAAACACCUGCACUUAAUUUGACGUUACCUACAGAAGAAGCACCGGCUAACUCCGUGCCAGCAGCCGCGGUAAUACGGAGGGUGCGAGCGUUAAUCGGAAUUACUGGGCGUAAAGCGCAUGCAGGCGGCCUGUUAAGUCAGAUUGUGAAAGCCCGGGGCUUAACCUCGGAAUUGCAAUUUGAAACUGGUAGGCUAGAGUCUUGUAGAGGGGGUAGAAUUUCAGUGUAGCGGUGAAAUGCGUAGAGAUCUGAAGGAAUACCAGUGGCGAAGGCGGCCCCCUGGACAAAGACUGACGCUCAGAUGCGAAAGCCGUGGGGAGCAAACAGGAUUUAGAUACCCCUGGUAGGACAU